Molecule: ribosomal RNA, 496 nt
Filed under: uncultured bacterium
Lineage: Bacteria
Description: partial 16S ribosomal RNA
Rfam family: Bacterial small subunit ribosomal RNA
Source: RNAcentral
GAUGAACGCUGGCGGCGUGCCUAAUACAUGCAAGUCGAGCGAACAGACGAGGAGCUUGCUCCUCUGACGUUAGCGGCGGACGGGUGAGUAACACGUGGAUAACCUACCUAUAAGACUGGGAUAACUUCGGGAAACCGGAGCUAAUACCGGAUAAUAUAUUGAACCGCAUGGUUCAAUAGUGAAAGACGGUUUUGCUGUCACUUAUAGAUGGAUCCGCGCCGCAUUAGCUAGUUGGUAAGGUAACGGCUUACCAAGGCAACGAUGCGUAGCCGACCUGAGAGGGUGAUCGGCCACACUUGAACUGAGACACCGUCCAGAAUCCUACGGGAGGCAACAGGAGGGAAUCUUCCGCAAUGGGCGAAAGCCUGACGGAGCAACGGCGCGUGAGUGAUGAAGGGCUUCGGAUCGUAAAACUCUGUUAUUAGGGAAGAACAAAUGUGUAAGUAACUAUGCACGUCUUGACGGUACCUAAUCAGAAAGCCACGGCUAACUACGU